UUUGGUGAUGAUGGCAGAGAGGUCACACCCGUUCCCAUACCGAACACGGAAGUUAAGCUCUCUAGCGCCGAUGGUAGUUGGGACCUUGU
Molecule: ribosomal RNA, 89 nt
Filed under: Escherichia coli
Lineage: Bacteria; Pseudomonadati; Pseudomonadota; Gammaproteobacteria; Enterobacterales; Enterobacteriaceae
Also listed under: 2 other names
Source: RNAcentral